Molecule: ribosomal RNA, 421 nt
Filed under: Dokdonia sp. Asnod2E08
Lineage: Bacteria; Pseudomonadati; Bacteroidota; Flavobacteriia; Flavobacteriales; Flavobacteriaceae
Description: bacterial SSU rRNA
Rfam family: Bacterial small subunit ribosomal RNA
Source: RNAcentral
AUGCCGCGUGUAGGAAGACUGCCCUAUGGGUUGUAAACUNNNUUUUAUNNNGGGAAGAAUAAGGUCUACGUGUAGACUGAUGACGGUACCAUAAGAAUAAGCACCGGCUAACUCCGUGCCAGCAGCCGCGGUAAUACGGAGGGUGCAAGCGUUAUCCGGAAUCAUUGGGUUUAAAGGGUCCGUAGGCGGGCAUAUAAGUCAGUGGUGAAAGUCUGUGGCUCAACCAUAGAAUUGCCAUUGAUACUGUAUGUCUUGAAUUAUUGUGAAGUGGUUAGAAUAUGUAGUGUAGCGGUGAAAUGCUUAGAGAUUACAUAGAAUACCGAUUGCGAAGGCAGAUCACUAACAAUAUAUUGACGCUGAUGGACGAAAGCGUAGGUAGCGAACAGGAUUAGAUACCCUGGUAGUCCACUGCUGCCUCCCG